Molecule: ribosomal RNA, 587 nt
Filed under: uncultured bacterium
Lineage: Bacteria
Description: bacterial SSU rRNA
Rfam family: Bacterial small subunit ribosomal RNA
Source: RNAcentral
CCUACGGGAGGCAGCAGUGGGGAAUAUUGGACAAUGGGCGCAAGCCUGAUCCAGCCAUACCGCGUGGGUGAAGAAGGCCUUCGGGUUGUAAAGCCCUUUUGUUGGGAAAGAAAAGCAGUCGGUUAAUACCCGAUUGUUCUGACGGUACCCAAAGAAUAAGCACCGGCUAACUUCGUGCCAGCAGCCGCGGUAAUACGAAGGGUGCAAGCGUUACUCGGAAUUACCGGGCGUAAAGCGUGCGUAGGUGGUUGUUUAAGUCUGUCGCGAAAGCCCUGGGCUCAACCUGGGAAUUGCGAUGGAAACUGGGCGACUAGAGUGUGGCGGAGGGUAGUGGAAUUCCUGGUGUAGCAGUGAAAUGCGUAGAGAUCAGGAGGAACAUCCGUGGCGAAGGCGACUGCCUGGGCCAACACUGACACUGAGGCACGAAAGCGUGGGGAGCAAACAGGAUUAGAUACCCUGGUAGUCCACGCCCUAAACGAUGCGAACUGGAUGUUGGGUGCAAUUUGGCACGCAGUAUCGAAGCUAACGCGUUAAGUUCGCCGCCUGGGGAGUACGGUCGCAAGACUGAAACUCAAAGGAAUUGACGG